GACGAACGCUGGCGGCGUGCCUAAUACAUGCAAGUUGAGCGAUGAAGAUUGGUGCUUGCACCAAUUUGAAGAGCAGCGAACGGGUGAGUAACGCGUGGGGAAUCUGCCUUUGAGCGGGGGACAACAUUUGGAAACGAAUGCUAAUACCGCAUAACAACUUUAAACAUAAGUUUUAAGUUUGAAAGAUGCAAUUGCAUCACUCAAAGAUGAUCCCGCGUUGUAUUAGCUAGUUGGUGAGGUAAAGGCUCACCAAGGCGAUGAUACAUAGCCGACCUGAGAGGGUGAUCGGCCACAUUGGGGCUGAGACACGGCCCAAACUCCUACGGGAGGCAGCAGUAGGGAAUCUUCGGCAAUGGACGAAAGUCUGACCGAGCAACGCCGCGUGAGUGAAGAAGGGUUUCGGAUCGUAAAACUCGGUUGGUAGAGAAGAACGUUGGUGAGAGUGGAAAGCUCAUCAAGUGACGGUAACUACCCAGAAAGGGACGGCUAACUACGUG
This 497-nucleotide ribosomal RNA is filed under the name uncultured bacterium. RNAcentral's name for it is "partial 16S ribosomal RNA". It matches the Rfam family "Bacterial small subunit ribosomal RNA", at positions 28 to 507 of the family's 1533-position model. The record is from RNAcentral.